AUACCGGAGUAGGGCCGGUCCUUGAUCUGCCAUGACGGAUCUUACCGUAAAAGGCAAAGAGGCAGAAUACACACGCGCUGAUGGAGACUGGAGUAAAGCACUUACGAGCCGAGGGCUGCCAGCGGCACCAGCAGCGGGGACAGGCCUGGACACACUCUCCCUGGGCCGCCAAAGAAGAGCCCCGCCCACACCUUGAUUUUGGACUUGUGGGCUCCAGAGCCGUAAGAAGCCGUGGAUGGCAGAGGCCCUAAGUGCGGGCUUGCCGCGAGGCUGCGCUCCGCUGAAGGCUCCUUGGGAGGGCGUGUCCUCCUUUUUCUGGCUCGUAGAGGCUGCUCCCUUUCCUUGGCUCGUGGCCCCUUCCUCCAUCCUCAGUCAGGAGACCGGCAUCUUCCAAUCUCCUGACUCUGACCCUCCUGCCUCCCUCUCACAAGGACUCAGUGAUUACCCCAGGUUAUCCAGGUGGGUCCUGUGUAACCUCCCCAGCUCAGGGUCCUCAACUUAACCCCGUGGCCACAAUCCCUCUGCCACAGACGGUAACACGUUCGCAGGUUCUGGGAAUUAGGACACAGACACCCUGGGGGCCGUCACUCAGCCGCCACACCGAGGAGCAGCCUGCAGAGGUCUCACAGGCCCCUUCGAGCUCCCGCCAGCCUGGCGCACACACACCUCUCCCUGACCACUUGGGGGUCUCCUAAAGCCUCCACUGGCCGGCUGUGACUGAGGAGCCCCCGGGUACCACCCGGACCAGGGCUGCUGGAACCCUUUCACCUGGAACUCCUGGGAAGGAGAGGGUUGCCACGGAAACAGCCAGCAGAGCAGAGCCAGCACCUCCAAGUCCAGCACUGGGUGAAGACCGUCCCCCCUCAGCCACUGUGGCUGGAGAUGAGUAAGAGUUGCCCUGAACCUACCAGCUUGCUCCCCAGUGCUCGGCCAGGACCUGCCUCCAUGAUAGGAGGAACACCUGAAAAUAUAGGUGACCAAAAGCUCCGAGAAGCUCGGCCUUGAGGACCCUGGAGGGCAUGUCGGGAUCUGGUAGAAACAUCAGGGGCUGGGGCCCAGGGUCAGAGCCAUGAGCCACGACAACGAGUGAAAGACAUAUUCGGGGGCGCCAGAGACACCCACCGACCCGGCGCCUCUCUCCUCGGCAGCGCCCAGGACCCGGGGCCACGCACCAUCCUCAGGGUGACGGAUGGCUCUGGCCGCAGGGCCCCUCUCGAGGGAAGCGAACGCUGGUGCAGAGAUGGAGCACAGAAAUAGACGCGCAGUUCCAAUUGCGGCAUCUGCUGUGACGCUGAAGGCAACCUGCCACCCACAGCCCCUGCCCGCUGGCAGAGCGCCCUGCCCAGCCAGCGCUUCCACCCUAGACAGGAGUCCACGGGUCUCCUGAAGGAACAGGGCUGCACUGCCGGGUGCUGCUGUUCCAUGGCCCCCCCCACCACCCCUGCCAGGCCUCUGGACUCACCUGCCUUGUCCUGGUCUGCGGCUCGCCCAGGGUCCCAAG
Molecule: long non-coding RNA, 1501 nt
Organism: Bubalus bubalis (water buffalo)
Lineage: Eukaryota; Metazoa; Chordata; Mammalia; Artiodactyla; Bovidae
Exons: 5
Source: RefSeq, a predicted model, not a curated record